GAUGAACGCUGGCGGCGUGCCUAAUACAUGCAAGUCGAGCGAACAGACGAGGAGCUUGCUCCUUUGACGUUAGCGGCGGACGGGUGAGUAACACGUGGAUAACCUACCUAUAAGACUGGGAUAACUUCGGGAAACCGUAGCUAAUACCGGAUAACAUGUUGAACCGCAUGGUUCAACAGUGAAAGACGGUCUUGCUGUCACUUAUAGAUGGAUCCGCGCCGCAUUAGCUAGUUGGUAAGGUAACGGCUUACCAAGGCAACGAUGCGUAGCCGACCUGAGAGGGUGAUCGGCCACACUGGAACUGAGACACGGUCCAGACUCCUACGGGAGGCAGCAGUAGGGAAUCUUCCGCAAUGGGCGAAAGCCUGACGGAGCAACGCCGCGUGAGUGAAGAAGGUCUUCGGAUCGUAAAACUCUGUUAUUAGGGAAGAACAAAUGUGUAAGUAACUAUGCACGUCUUGACGGUACCUAAUCAGAAAGCCACGGCUAACUACGUG
This 497-nucleotide ribosomal RNA is filed under the name uncultured bacterium. RNAcentral describes it as "partial 16S ribosomal RNA". It matches the Rfam family "Bacterial small subunit ribosomal RNA", at positions 28 to 507 of the family's 1533-position model. The record is from RNAcentral.